AUUGAACGCUAGCGGCAGGCCUAACACAUGCAAGUAGAGCGAGCGGUGGACGGGUGAGUAAUGUAUGGGGACUGCCCGAUAGAGGGGGAUAACUACUGGACACGGUAGCUAAUACCGCAUACUAUCGGAUAACCCAUAUGGGAUUAGCUAGUAGGUGAGGUAAUGGCUAACCUAGGCGACGAUCCCUAGCUGGUCUGAGAGGAUGAUCAGCCACACUGGGACGGAGACACGGCCCAGACUCCUACGGAGUCAGCAGUGGUGAAUAUUGCACAAUGGGCGCAAUCCUGCUGCAGCCAUGCCGCGUGUAUGAAUAAGGCCCUAGGGUUGUAAAGUACUUUCCGUCGGGAGGCGUUACCGACAGAAGAAGCACCGGCUAACUCCGUGCCAGCAGCCGCGGUAAUUC
This 403-nucleotide ribosomal RNA is filed under the name uncultured bacterium. RNAcentral's name for it is "partial 16S ribosomal RNA". It matches the Rfam family "Bacterial small subunit ribosomal RNA", at positions 30 to 526 of the family's 1533-position model. The record is from RNAcentral.